CCGUCAUUAGCCAAGUGGUAUGGUGUCUGGUUUGGGACCAGAAAAUCGUAGGUUCGAUCCCUACAUGACGGA
This is a transfer RNA of 72 nucleotides. It matches the Rfam family "tRNA". Rfam says of the family: Transfer RNA (tRNA) molecules are approximately 80 nucleotides in length. Their secondary structure includes four short double-helical elements and three loops (D, anti-codon, and T loops). Further hydrogen bonds mediate the characteristic L-shaped molecular structure. tRNAs have two regions of fundamental functional importance: the anti-codon, which is responsible for specific mRNA codon recognition, and the 3' end, to which the tRNAs corresponding amino acid is attached (by aminoacyl-tRNA synthetases). tRNAs cope with the degeneracy of the genetic code in two manners: having more than one tRNA (with a specific anti-codon) for a particular amino acid; and 'wobble' base-pairing, i.e. permitting non-standard base-pairing at the 3rd anti-codon position.